Molecule: long non-coding RNA, 2607 nt
Organism: Leopardus geoffroyi (Geoffroy's cat)
Lineage: Eukaryota; Metazoa; Chordata; Mammalia; Carnivora; Felidae
Exons: 3
Source: RefSeq, a predicted model, not a curated record
GCUCUCUGUCUCUCAAAAAUAAACGUUAAUUUUUUUUUUUUAAAAAGGGUCAGAUGCUUAACCGACUGAGCCACCCAGGUGCUCCCGGAAAUUGUGUUUUAAGGCACCAAAUGUAAUCUUAUCUAUGGGAAAACAGCUUUGGCAAUUUCGAUUACAUAUUGAAGCAUGGUGACUCUGAACAGCUAAUGUCUACAGGACACAACCUGGACUUCCACUCGACUCCUCGCUCUGCUCAGGCUGUACUCCUGUGCCUCCAUUGCACAAGCUCCUCCAACAGAUCAUAACCAAAUUCCACGCGCAAAUGGAGAAAUGAUGCCCACUGUCUACACCAGCAAAGAACAGGAAUGAUUUGAUGCAGUUGUGCAGGAGACGCACACACAAAACAAUCUUUCUAUAGCAAUAUAAUGCAUGGAAACCUUGUCCAGAUUUCCAUCAUACUUAACUCCUAAACUGAAGCUUCAAACUCUCAUAAUGCCUGUAUGACAAACUACAAUCCGGGUGAAAAUGCUCUAUGUCACUUUGAAGGUUAAUUUUCUACAUCAGCAUGGCUAAGUUAUGGUGUCAAGUUGUUUGGCCAAUCAUCACUCCGGAUGUUUUUGUGAAGAUAUUUGUUAGAUGUGAUUAGCACUUACAAUAAGUAGACUUUCAGCAAAGCACACGACCCUCCAAAAUACGUGUGGCCCACAUCCAAGCAGUGGAAAGGAUUAAGAGUAAAAUUUGAGGCUUCCCAGAGGAGAAGCAAUUCUACCUCAAGACUGCAAUAUAAGAAACUCUGUCUAAAUUGCCUGCCCACUGGUUUAACCUGCACAUUUUGGACUCAAGACUACAAUAUCAACUCUUGCCUUCAUUUCCAACCUGCCCCCUAACCUGCAGAUUUCAGACUUGCCAGCCCUCCCGGUCACAUGACCCACUCUUUAGAGUAAGUCUCUUUUUCUCUCUCGCCUGCUUUGUAUACCCUAUUGGUUCUGUUUUUCUGGAGAACCCUGACUAAUACAGUUACCAAACUUAGGGAAAGGAAGAUGACAAACGUAAGGCGAUGAAAAAGUUUGUAAAAUAGCUCAUAGUAAAAACAACAUCCAUGUCUAACAUUCUGCAUUCUAGAAGCACACCCUGAACAACACCCACAGGCCCCAAACAAGGCUUAAGUAGCCCUAUUGCUUUCCUGAGAAAAAGUUCAAUGGGUUGAUGUGCUAAUCGUAUCUUAUUUUAUCAUGGUACUAGGCCAUUGAAUUGCCCUUAAUUAUGUACCGACCUGCCUUUUUCUGCCAGGCUGAGGGCAGGGACCAAGGUUUUGUUAUCUUUGUAUCCAGACUGAAUAAAAGAUUAUUGAUUGCAUGUGAACAUGGUUCUAAUUUAAAAGGGAAUAUAGUGAAAACUUAGAAGUCACCAUAAUAAAAUACGCUUUGGGUCCCAGGUAACUAGAAAAAGUUGCAUUUCAAAGGGAAAAGCCUCUUUAAAAUGCUAUGCACAUUUUGUGUCUGAAUCCUUGAUUUCAGAGUAGAAAAGCCUGGAGGAAAACAGUUGAUCCCAUCUUUUUUGUGCAACAGCAGCUAUAAGAAAAAUUAAGUCAUCCGCUCCUUACAUUUAAUAACCACAAAGUCCAGGGUACAUGCGGCCUAAAGAAUAAAGGUGAGCAUUCUCCUCCAAGUCUGCUGAGGCUAGCCAGCUAAGAUAGCAGGAUGCAACUGUCUCUACAUAGGAAUGUUUCAGUGUGAUGCCUUUCAGAGAGUAGACAAGCCUGAGUUCUUGGGCCUAGAAACCACGAACAAAAAUAACUGAUCUGAGUUUAUUUCAAUGCUAAUAGAUGCUGUGGACAAAAUGUGUGUGUCCUAUCAAAACCCAUACAUCGAAUCCUAAUCCCUAAUGUGAUGGUAUUAGGAGGUAGAGCUUUGGGGGAGGUGGUUAGGUCAUAAGAGUGAAGCUCUCAUGAAUGGGAUCAGUGCCCUUACGAAAGAGACCCCAGAAAGCUCUCUUGCCUCCUCUGCCAUGUGAGGAUCCAUUGAGAGGAUGGCCCUCCAUGAACCAGAAAAUGGGUCUCACCAGACACUGAAUAUGCUGGCACCUUGAUACUAAACUUCCAGCCUCCAGGGCUGUGAGAAAUAAAUGUUUGUUGCUUAAGCUGCCAAAUCUGUAGUAUUUUUUUUUUUUGGUAGUAUUUUUGAUACAGCAGCCAGAUUCGAUUAAGACAAAAUGCAUCUCAGAAGUACCGUCUGUUUAGAGCCCUUAUUCCCAUGGUUCCAACAAAGGAACCAUUUGAAGAUGCUAAGACUGAUGGAUGGCCUAUGGUCAUUAUUUGCUAAAAUCUAAGAGAAGAGCACAUCCUAAUCAGGGGAGAGGCAUUUGGAGAAAGCCUUCAAUACUGUUUUCUGCCCAAGAAAAGUCCUUUUGCUUUGGAGCCCACUGUCUAUUGGCAACAGCUGGAAUGGGCCAACGAAGGCAUGGUUUCUGUCGUGAUGAGAUUGAACGUUUCUUACAAGUCUCAUUUGGUGAGCAGGUCUUUGGCCUCAGCACAGUCUUGAUGUGAAGAUACCUUUUCAGGGGUGCCUGGGUGGCUCAGUUGGCUGGACAUCUGACUUCGGCCCAGGUCAUAAUCUCAUGGGUUGUGAG